This 385-nucleotide ribosomal RNA is filed under the name uncultured bacterium. RNAcentral describes it as "bacterial SSU rRNA". It matches the Rfam family "Bacterial small subunit ribosomal RNA", at positions 28 to 416 of the family's 1533-position model. The record is from RNAcentral.
GACGAACGCUGGCGGCGUGCUUAACACAUGCAAGUCGAGCGGUAAGGCCCUUUCGGGGGUACACGAGCGGCGAACGGGUGAGUAACACGUGGGUGACCUGCCCUCAGCUCUGGGAUAAGCCUGGGAAACCGGGUCUAAUACCGGAUAUGACUCCAUGACGCAUGUUGUGGGGUGAAAGCCUUGUGCGGCUGAGGAUGGGCCCGCGGCCUAUCAGCUUGUUGGUGGGGUGAUGGCCUACCAAGGCGACGACGGUAGCCGGCCUGAGAGGGCGACCGGCCACACUGGGACUGAGACACGGCCCACGACUCCUACGGGAGGCAGCAGUGGGAAUCUUGCGCAAUGGGCGAAAGCCUGACGCAGCGACGCCGCGUGAGGGAUGACGGCC